Molecule: long non-coding RNA, 1431 nt
Filed under: Erythranthe guttata (spotted monkey flower)
Lineage: Eukaryota; Viridiplantae; Streptophyta; Magnoliopsida; Lamiales; Phrymaceae
Description: long non-coding RNA (EGUT_LNC002225)
Source: RNAcentral
GAAAUUUUAUUGGUAUUAUUUUUCGCUUUCAAGAAUACACUUUGCUUUGAAGAUGAACAUUUUCAUCAAGUUUUUCUCUACGAGAAUUUUUAGAAAAAUGUCAUAAUAUUGUUAUUAUUUCUCUAAGAUUUUGAUUGUAUUCUUUGUUUGUGAAUUUGCAAAUUUGUAUAUUGCCAAAGUUUUCCUUCUCCUUUUAUUUUUGCACCAUGCUUUCUGCCAAUUUAUUCUUAUUUUUCAAUUGUUAUGUUGUUCAUACUUGGGAAUGGCAAGUGUUAUUAUGAUUAGGUUGUGGAGUUUUACACAGGGAUAUGUGUAUGUCAACUGAUUUUGAGGUUGGAGGGGCCAUCAUUUUAUUAUUUAUAAUAUGUAAUGGCCACAUCGGAUUUUUCCCAAGCAGAUACAAAUGCUCUUUUCACAAUAUUAUUUCAUGAUUUCAUGAGUUUUUUUUCUCAUGGUCUACUAGGGACUGUUAUACAAAGAUUGUGGGUUGGUACACACAAAAUGCAUCAGGUAUCAUAUUUCGGGUUUCAUAUUUUUGUCUCUUUUAGAUUUAUUUUUAUUUUCAUUACACGGAGUUUGUUGACAGCUAAAUAGUGCUGGACAGUUGCAAAAUGUAGCAACUUCCUUACAGGAGGAGUUUUGGAACUCAAUGGACGCAGCAAUGAAAAAGCAUGGCAAGCUUUCUGCUGAGAUCAUUAAUUAUGUGAGUCGGGAGUUUUUGCUUUAAGGGGAACAAUAUGGUUCUUCGUUUUUACUUUUUGCUUUAUUUUGUUAUGUCCAGAACAUAUACAACUGCGUAUCAGACUAUUUUGAUAUUUAUCUGGCAGGUCAAAGCUGAAAUUUCUCAACUGGAUAGAUGAAAGGCAGCAAAAUGAAGGAACUCGUUUAAAAAAGGUAAGGCAAAUUUAGAAUAUAUUUGUAGGAAGCCACAAUUGGUUCCAAAAAUAACCUGUUUUGGUAAAUUCUUUACGGCCCUUUUUCUUUGUCUUCCUUUCGUUGUUUUUGUUGCGUAAUCUGUUCGCAACUUUUCUUUUCAAUUGGAGAGGGGCAGUUUGGUCUCAGUUGCAUCAGAGCAUUGCACAUCUGUCUUUUUCUUCAAGUCGUAUCUCUCUGAUAAGGUAUUAGAUUAAUUUUUUUGGGGCCUCUUUCACAAUUAUUUCAUUGUUUUCAUUUUAUGCAAGUGCUGUCUAUUGUAUGCCUCCCAUGGUAGUGCAGAGUCUUUUAAUAUAUGAUGCUGUCCUACAAUGCUAUUCAAAUAUUUUUUAUCGUAAUGAUGCACUUGUAUAAGUUGAACAAAUCUGUGUUUAGUUAGGCAACACUUAUACAAAUCCAUAUAAAUGCAUCUCCUGACCUUUUUUUUGAACUAUGCAACAUGUCGAAUACGUGCGGGCAACGCACGGGCACCGCGCAAGCCGCGGUGCUCCAUACCUA